UACGUAGGGUGCGAGCGUUAAUCGGAAUUACUGGGCGUAAAGUGUGCGCAGGCGGCCGCGCAAGUCGAGUGUGAAAGCCCCGAGCUUAACUUGGGAAUUGCGCUCGAAACUACGUGGCUGGAGUGUGGCAGAGGAAGGUGGAAUUCCAGGUGUAGCGGUGAAAUGCGUAGAUAUCUGGAGGAACACCGGUGGCGAAGGCGGCAUUCUGGACCGAUAUUGACGCUGAGGAGCGAAAGCCAGGGGAGCAAACGGG
RNAcentral lists this ribosomal RNA (253 nucleotides) under uncultured bacterium. Its description in RNAcentral is "partial 16S ribosomal RNA". It matches the Rfam family "Bacterial small subunit ribosomal RNA", at positions 524 to 776 of the family's 1533-position model. The record is from RNAcentral.